Small nuclear RNA from Hyaena hyaena (striped hyena), 108 nucleotides. The record is from RefSeq and is a predicted model, not a curated record. NCBI's taxonomy places the organism in Eukaryota, Metazoa, Chordata, Mammalia, Carnivora, Hyaenidae.
GUGCUCGCUUCGGCAGCACAUAUACUAAAAUUGGAAUGAUACAGAGAAGAUUAGCAUGGCCCCUGCGCAAGAAUACUAUCCACACUAGCUGAGUAACUCUAGCUAGGU